Molecule: non-coding RNA, 288 nt
Organism: Vicia faba (fava bean)
Lineage: Eukaryota; Viridiplantae; Streptophyta; Magnoliopsida; Fabales; Fabaceae
Source: the annotation of a GenBank genome assembly
AUGCUUCUUAAACUUUUGUGCCAAAAUCAAACCUAUAAAGCCAAUUUUUUAAAGUUUGGAUUUGACCCAACUCAGUCCUACCAAACCGAUUUCUUUAAAUUUAGGUUUCACCUAACUCAAUCAUACGAAACUGUCUUUGUAUUGGACAUUCCAAUCAUAAAAUCAACAGAGCGGAAUAGAGCAGUCGAAUUAAGCAGAAUGGAGCGGAGUAGAACGAAAUUUAAUUUCAUUCUAUUGUUUGGAAAUUUUAGAACGGAACAAGACAAGUUGUUCAUUCCGCAUGAAUGA